RNAcentral lists this ribosomal RNA (301 nucleotides) under uncultured bacterium. RNAcentral's name for it is "partial 16S ribosomal RNA". It matches the Rfam family "Bacterial small subunit ribosomal RNA", at positions 509 to 807 of the family's 1533-position model. The record is from RNAcentral.
CAGCAGCCGCGGGAAUACGUAGGGUGCGAGCGUUAAUCGGAAUUACUGGGCGUAAAGCGUGCGCAGGCGGUGCUGCAAGACCGAUGUGAAAGCCCCGGGCUUAACCUGGGAACUGCAUUGGUGACUGCAGCGCUGGAGUAUGGCAGAGGGGGGUGGAAUUCCACGUGUAGCAGUGAAAUGCGUAGAGAUGUGGAGGAACACCAAUGGCGAAGGCAGCCCCCUGGGCCAAUACUGACGCUCAUGCACGAAAGCGUGGGGAGCAAACAGGAUUAGAUACCCCCGUAGUCCCUGUCUCUUAUAC